UGCAAGUCGAGCGGCAGCGACAACAUUGACCCUUCGGGUGAUUUGUUGGGCGGCGAGCGGCGGACGGGUGAGUAAUGCCUGGGAAUAUGCCCUGAUGUGGGGGAUAACCAUUGGAAACGAUGGCUAAUACCGCAUAAUCUCUUCGGAGCAAAGAGGGGGACCUUCGGGCCUCUCGCGUCAGGAUUAGCCCAGGUGAGAUUAGCUUGUUGGUGAGGUAAGAGCUCACCAAGGCAACGAUCUCUAGCUGGUCUGAGAGGAUGAUCAGCCACACUGGAACUGAGACACGGUCCAGACUCCUACGGGAGGCAGCAGUGGGGAAUAUUGCACAAUGGGGGAAACCCUGAUGCAGCCAUGCCGCGUGUAUGAAGAAGGCCUUCGGGUUGUAAAGUACUUUCAGUUGUGAGGAAGGCGUUGUCGUUAAUAGCGGCAGUGUUUGACGUUAGCAACAGAAGAAGCACCGGCUAACUCCGUGCCAGCAGCCGCGGUAAUACGGAGGGUGCGAGCGUUAAUCGGAAUUACUGGGCGUAAAGCGCAUGCAGGCGGCUUGUUAAGCCAGAUGUGAAAGCCCGGGGCUCAACCUCGGAAUAGCAUUUGGAACUGGCAGGCUAGAGUCUUGUAGAGGGGGGUAGAAUUUCAGGUGUAGCGGUGAAAUGCGUAGAGAUCUGAAGGAAUACCGGUGGCGAAGGCGG
RNAcentral lists this ribosomal RNA (689 nucleotides) under Photobacterium lutimaris. RNAcentral's name for it is "bacterial SSU rRNA". It matches the Rfam family "Bacterial small subunit ribosomal RNA", at positions 56 to 724 of the family's 1533-position model. The record is from RNAcentral. Lineage: Bacteria; Pseudomonadati; Pseudomonadota; Gammaproteobacteria; Vibrionales; Vibrionaceae.